This is a long non-coding RNA of Capsicum annuum, 717 nucleotides long. RefSeq lists it as uncharacterized. Lineage: Eukaryota; Viridiplantae; Streptophyta; Magnoliopsida; Solanales; Solanaceae. The transcript is spliced from 2 exons. The record is from RefSeq and is a predicted model, not a curated record.
ACGAAAAUUACUGGCCGGUAGCCGACAAUCUACCGGCCAGUAAUGUGGUUAACGGAGAUUACUCUGGAUUUAUACAAAGUUGCUGAUGAUCAGUAGAUUGAAAAAGGUAAAUCUUUAUGAUUGUGCUUUAUAAAUAUAGGGGUGGAGCUAGUAUUUGAAGCUUAUCGGUUCUUGAUUAUGAUCUUUAUUGAGUUCUUGAGCUUCUAAGUUGAUAGUUCUGUCCUAUUGUCCUAGUGAUGAUGGACAUAGUUAGCUGGUGCCUGUCGUUGUUGUUGGUGGGGGAGGUGCACGGUUAUCAAAAAAGUUGAUAGUUUGUGUGUAUUCAACGGACUUUUAAGGCGAAAUACAAUGUUUGAAUGAAAAUUACUGGCCGGUAGCCAACAAUCUACCGGCCAGUAAUGUGGUUAAUGGAGAUUACUCCGGAUUUAUACAAAGUUGCUGAUGAUCAGUAGAUUGAAAAAGAUGGGGAGCUGUGUUUUUUUUUUUUUUCGGCUUUUCGAGUUGGGGAAUUUGAUGAAACUGUUGAAUUUUCUUUGCUAACGAAAAGAGGUGGAUAAAGUUGCUGCUUCAAUGCUAAUUUGGCUUUAGAGGUGAUUUGUUUUGUUCAUAUUUUCUCUGGUUUAUGUUCAUUGGAAUAAGUUUUAUUAACAUAGUAUGAUGAUGUUCUUAGAUAUCAAAGACAAUUGUUCAUAUAGUGAAAAAAAAACUUUCAUCUUU